GUCGAGAAUCUUUCACAAUGGGGGCAACCCUGAUGGAGCGACGCCGCGUGGAGGAUAAGGUCUUCGGAUUGUAAACUCCUGUCAUGCGUGAACAAGGUUGCUUGGAUAAUACCUGAGCAAAUUGAUGGUAGCACAAGAGGAAGAGACGGCUAACUCUGUGCCAGCAGCCGCGGUAAUACAGAGGUCUCAAGCGUUGUUCGGAAUCACUGGGCGUAAAGGGUGCGUAGGUGGCGUGGCAAGUCAGAUGUGAAAGCCCGGGGCUCAACCUCGGAACUGCAUCCGAUACUGCCAUGCUAGAGUACUGGAGGGGUGACUAGAAUUCUCGGUGUAGCAGUGAAAUGCGUAGAUAUCGAGAGGAAUACCAAAGGCGUAGGCAGGUCACUGGACAGUUACUGACACUGAGGCACGAAGGCCAGGGGAGCGAACGGGAUUAGAAACCCUUGUAGUCC
This 449-nucleotide ribosomal RNA is filed under the name uncultured bacterium. Its description in RNAcentral is "partial 16S ribosomal RNA". It matches the Rfam family "Bacterial small subunit ribosomal RNA", at positions 354 to 796 of the family's 1533-position model. The record is from RNAcentral.